CGCUGGCGGCAUGCUUUACACAUGCAGUCGAACGGUAACAGGCCGCAAGGUGCUGACGAGUGGCGAACGGGUGAGUAAUGUAUCGGAACGUGCCCAGUCGUGGGGGAUAACGCAGCGAAAGCUGCGCUAAUACCGCAUACGAUCUAUGGAUGAAAGCGGGGGACCGUAAGGCCUCGCGCGAUUGGAGCGGCCGAUAUCAGAUUAGGUAGUUGGUGGGGUAAAGGCUCACCAAGCCAACGAUCUGUAGCUGGUCUGAGAGGACGACCAGCCACACUGGGACUGAGACACGGCCCAGACUCCUACGGGAGGCAGCAGUGGGGAAUUUUGGACAAUGGGCGCAAGCCUGAUCCAGCAAUGCCGCGUGCAGGAAGAAGGCCUUCGGGUUGUAAACUGCUUUUGUACGGAACGAAACGGUCUGGGUUAAUACCCUGGGCUAAUGACGGUACCGUAAGAAUAAGCACCGGCUAACUACGUGCCAGCAGCCGCGGUAAUACGUAGGGUGCAAGCGUUAAUCGGAAUUACUGGGCGUAAAGCGUGCGCAGGCGGUUUUGUAAGACAGUCGUGAAAUCCCCGGGCUCAACCUGGGAAUGGCGAUUGUGACUGCAAAGCUGGAGUGCGGCAGAGGGGGAUGGAAUUCCGCGUGUAGCAGUGAAAUGCGUAGAUAUGCGGAGGAACACCGAUGGCGAAGGCAAUCCCCUGGG
This 701-nucleotide ribosomal RNA is filed under the name uncultured beta proteobacterium. RNAcentral describes it as "bacterial SSU rRNA". It matches the Rfam family "Bacterial small subunit ribosomal RNA", at positions 34 to 733 of the family's 1533-position model. The record is from RNAcentral. Lineage: Bacteria; Pseudomonadati; Pseudomonadota; Betaproteobacteria.